GAUGAAGAACGCAGCAAAAUGCGGUAAGUAAUGUGAAUUGCAGAAUUCAGUGAAUCAUCGAAUCUUUGAACGCACAUUGCGCCCGCUGGUAUUCCGGCGGGCAUGCCUGUUCGAGCGUCAUUUCAACCCUCAAGCCCCCGGGUUUGGUGUUGGGGAUCGGCUCUGCCCUUCUGGGCGGUGCCGCCCCCGAAAUACAUUGGCGGUCUCGCUGCAGCCUCCAUUGCGUAGUAGCUAACACCUCGCAACUGGAACGCGGCGCGGCCAUGCCGUAAAACCCCAACUUCUGAAUGUUGACCUCGGAUCAGGUAGGAAUACCCGCUGAACUUAAGCAUAUCAAUAAGCGGAGGA
RNAcentral lists this unclassified non-coding RNA (348 nucleotides) under soil metagenome. RNAcentral describes it as "partial contains 5.8S ribosomal RNA, internal transcribed spacer 2, and large subunit ribosomal RNA". The stretch from base 1 to 120 matches the Rfam family "5.8S ribosomal RNA", at positions 35 to 154 of the family's 154-position model. The record is from RNAcentral.